This 583-nucleotide small RNA is filed under the name Caenorhabditis elegans. RNAcentral's name for it is "Unclassified non-coding RNA C34E10.13". Lineage: Eukaryota; Metazoa; Nematoda; Chromadorea; Rhabditida; Rhabditidae. The record is from RNAcentral.
GGUCAGCAAAGAGCUUCUGGGCCAACGUACGUGGAUUCGGUGGUUUCCGUAUUUAAAAUCCAUCGCAUCGACUCUUUAUUAUACGAGCACAGUUGUAUUAGGUCAGAAUAUUAAUAUUUCAAUCAUAAAUCAAGAAAUCCCAUUUUCGUUCAGGAAAUCAAACUCUUGGCGAGGAAUACGUUCAUUUAUUUGAAUCAAACGGUCUUGAACGAACAGUUCCAUCGAUUCCAUCACGGAUUUCUUUUGUUCUUCUUCAUUCAGCAUUUCCAUUAAUUUCAAAUUAUUUGAUUCAGGUGAUUUUCAUAGUUUCUUUUUGAAAAUAUUUGUGAAAAUAAGUUUACAGAAAGCAGAAUCAACACUUACACAUCCAUCAACUGAAUCAUUUCUUGGAAUUCCGAUUCGAAAAAAUCAAAAAGCUCGUCAAUCAUUUCUUGACGUGUUUUUCUGGUUGAGAACUAAACUUUUUCCACAACUUCAACGUGCUCAUAUUGCUCUUUUCUAUAUAACUGGAGCAUAUUAUAGCAUCGCCAGAAGAUUCACUGGAAUUCGAUUUUUAUCAGCCAGUGCUCAUUCGGAUAUUCCU